AGCCAACAUUCUGCUAACUCCAUUGUACUGCUGUAAUUCCAUUGCUGCACUUGAAGAAGUAGGUUAUAACCUAUCAAAACUUAGGAUGUAUUAAAAUAUCUUUAAUUCACUACUGAAUUAAUACUUUACAUUUACACAAAAAGGCUUUUAAUUGUCAUACCAAAUCUUUUAUUGAUAUGUUUAGGUACUAACUGCUACCAGAUAUGAAAAAAUGAAGGAAAUGAUUAGUAAAGGCAGACGACAGAUACAAGAUGUGUAUAACAGAUCACUAUCCUGCGUGGAGCUCCAAGAACACUCUGUGACUUCAUCAGUGACUUGGAUCAGGGCAAGCUGUAUGUGUUUUUGUGCUUCCCUUGUGUGCCAGAAGUAUCCUUAGAGCACAUCCAUAUUGUUCUUUGUCUUCCAGACCUUACAUUUUACUUCAGUAUCCAUAAGCUUGGUAACUAUUGUUUUGUUGAGGUGACAUUUUGGAAAGAAUGCAUGGAUCCAUGAGUGAAUGUGUGUGUGGAGAUGAUGCCCAAUUCUGACCUCCAUUUGCUGAUAGCCCUUCUGCACAGGGGGCUAGAUCUUAGGGGCUAGUGAAGGCAAUUUCAGCAAAGUAGAAAGGUUUGCUCUUAAAUAUGUUACAGAAAUGACAGGGGGGCACAUCUUUAAAGAUAUUACAAUGUUACAAAUAUUAUGCCUGAAUGUAUCCUUUCAACUUGACAGCUCAGGGAAGAUACCGUGCUUUAGAAACUCAUGUAAAAUCAGUAGUUUGACCGAUUCUCUUCAUUCCAACGCCAUUUUAUCCUUAGAGAAAAGGACUCCUUUACCUUUCCUUCCCACCAUAAUCCAUCCACAACACCCCACCCAGGGAGUGCCCACAGGUGGCAAUCUCCGGGCUGAUAGCUGACCAUAAAAUCCCAAGAGAUCAUCCCCGGACUUGCCACAGGACAAGGAUAUGUAAAGCGUUCUAUUGUUCUUUGGUGAUAGGUACUUGAGAGGUGUUAAGAGAAUUGUCUGGACAUGUUUGCCAAGGCUGAACUAGUGUAACCCCUGGCUACCCGUCCCCUUUUGUGACAUGUCAGUGAUGCAAAGAUGAUGUAUCAGUGAUGCUGCACAAACUGUAUUCUGGGUGAUUGUGGGAAGUUUUAAAAGCCAAUGUCACCCCAUGCUUGGGGUUCUUACUCCUGUGGGGACCUGUUGCGCAACAAUAAAGAUAAUGGUCUACUGACCGCUGUUUUGCUCCAAA
Podarcis lilfordi (Lilford's wall lizard) is the source of this 1231-nucleotide non-coding RNA. The record is from the annotation of a GenBank genome assembly. NCBI's taxonomy places the organism in Eukaryota, Metazoa, Chordata, Lepidosauria, Squamata, Lacertidae.